This 3193-nucleotide long non-coding RNA is filed under the name Heterocephalus glaber (naked mole-rat). Its description in RNAcentral is "lncRNA (ENSHGLG00000041842.1)". The record is from RNAcentral. Lineage: Eukaryota; Metazoa; Chordata; Mammalia; Rodentia; Bathyergidae.
AAUACAGGCCCUUCCGUGUCUGGAGAAGGGAAGGAGAUGAAACAUUCAGGGGCCAGGGCUGACACGCAGGAGAAUGAUUCAGAGUUUGGGCAAACUGAUUUCUCAGACACCGUGCUGUUUAGCUUUCCCCAUUUCCAACCUUGGAAAUAUAGCCCUUCCCAAGGCAGUGUGGAAAGGUUAGACUCCAGUCUGCCCCUCCUCAGCCCAAGGCCAUACCUGUGCUGCUAAAAAGGCCCUCUUUGGUCCAACUUUGCAACAAAGAGGUGAAGAAAAGAUAAGAAUAAAUACAUAGAAAAGGGGCAGAAAGAGGAUUGACGUGACCAAGAAAGGCCAGUAACCUUUCCCUCACCCCAGAAGUGGAUCUGCUUUCUGGAUCAGUCUUCUGCCCUAGUCUGUGUGUGACAGAAACAACUGGACAGGGGCUCCCUGGAGGGCUUAGACUACCGUGUGGUUCUGAAGCUGGGGCUGACUGUGUCAUUGGUUGUCAUAACUAUGGAGGUGCUGGUGGAAGCCAGAGAUGAUGGUAAACAGAACAGAAUGCACAAGACAGACCCCAUCCCAAAGACUGACUUCAUCAUUCUAAAUCAGCAGCCCUGAUUUAGAGGAAGGAAACUCCAGGCUUGGCAAGGAGGGGAUGCCUCAGGGUGAGAAGUGGAAGAGCUGGUAUCUUCAGGGACACUUGGUUGGGACAUUAUCAGAGGGUGGCCCUGGGGUCUCAGGGGAGCUACUCAUGGGGUCUGUUUGAAUCUGACAAAUAGCCAGAGAAAAGUGCCUUCAAGGGUGGACAGGGAGCCCAGUUUAGAGAACAAGAUUCCCAGAACAAGGAAGGACUGAGGCGAGGAGAGGGGCACUGGGGAAGGCAUACAGUUCAGAACAGCUGCUCUCUUCCAGGGGCCGGACUCCAGAACCCUGUUCCCAGAGGUGUGGACUGAGCCUGUGGCAGAUGCGCCUCCAUACGCCCUCAGUGUCACACACUUCUCGGAAGUAGUGACAGGUCUGGCCUAGGGCAACUGCAUCUCUUACUGGGAGGAAAGAGGCGAUAUGCUCCACCUGGGGGGAGGCAGGAAGCCUGGUCAUUUGCAGCCCUGGAGUGGUCUGGCCCCCAUCCUGCAUUCUCAAUGCUGCCCCCCACGCAGCAAGACUCACCAGCUCUGGAGGGAACAACUGAACAGAAAUAGAGUUCUCUCUCCCCUUCUCGUCACUCCUCAUACUCUGGGCCACAAGAAGGACAGUUCCGCUUCACCUACCCAAGAAGAAGUGGGGGGCAUGGGAGUUCUGUGAGGGUGGCACUUCUUCCAUCCUGAUCUUAACCUGUCUUUAUCUUUCAUUUCUUGUUUGUUUUUUUGAGGCAGGGUCUAUGUAGUUCAGUCAGGCUGGCUUUGAACUCACUAUGUAGCUCAGGCUGGCCUGGAAUUUGUGGCAAUCCUCCCGCCUCAGCCUCCCAAGUGCUGGGCUCACAGGCAUGUGCCACCACGCCCAGCUCACUCAACCUGUCUCCUCGUGAACUCCUGUCUCAGGCCUCAUCUGACUUCUGCUCUGUGCUGUUAAACCCUGCCACCUGUCUCCAGGUCCUUGGGCCCACCCUCCCUGCCUGCCUUGCUCCAGUCCUCACCACCCCCUCACCCGGAGCCCCUCCUCCCGGCCGCACAGCCCAGUCAGUUUUUUCAGCUUCUGUCUCUGGCUUCUUCUCACCAUCCUGACUGUCACCUCCCUGCUCCUGCCCUCAUCUCUCUGGGCCCUGUCCCCACUGCCUUUCCCACACCAUGUCCCCUGUCUGGGCCUGGAGGACCCCUUGGGCCCCUCCCUCAUGGAGUCCAGGCCAAACAAACCUCUCUGUGACCUCACUGUCCAGCCACUGUGACCUACUCUCCUGAAUAUGCCCUGGGACCUGGCUCCUGGGUUCUAGCUCAUGUUUAGCUGGGUGGCUCAUGGGACAUGCAGGACACUGGAGAAAUAAAGUGUAAACUCCUGAGAGAUGAUACUUUGACUUGCAGGGGGUAGAUUUUCCCUCAAGGCCCUUUCAGCACCAAUGCUGUAGAGAAGCUGGUGAAUCCUAUGCAUCGAAGCAGGCCGGGCCUCCAGGGAUUUGUAGCCCAAGAGUACAAAUUGAGAAAAGAAGACAAAAGUAGGACAGUUUGACAGCUGAGGGGUAAGAGCACCCUGCCCUGACCACCUGGCCCAUACAGGAACCCAGCAACCCAGCACAACUUUUUUUUUUCUUCCAGGAAAUCUUUAUUGAAAGAAAGCUAGCUUCUAAGAGAGAUAAGGGGGCCAGGAAAGUGGGCUGCCCCUCAGCACUGCUCUUUAUGGUCACAUGAAAACAAUCCAAAAGCAGGCCGCUUUCCAGGGUCCAGGAACAUCACUGCAUGCAUGAAGAGCAAGCCAUUAAGGUGGGAGAAGGGGAUGGAUUUGCUCUGAAAGCUUAGGACACAUCCUGGGAGCUGAUGUGGGCUCUGAAGAGGGAAGAAGUUCUGCACCUUCAAGGAGUAGCUGGCUCUUCUGGGGGCUCAAAGGAAUUCCAGGCCUGUGGACACCCAGCUGGCCCUGCAGAGAAUGUGAUCUCCAAGUGGACAGAAAAAGCACUUUCUGCUGCCACUUGGAUUUGGGUCCCCUUUCUUCACUCCAUUUCCCCAAGAAACAAGUAAGAGGUUUCAGAUAGACCAAAACCAUGAUGAAAGCAGAGGAAGUCAGCAAAGCCCGGAGUGGAAGAUCAAGACCUGGCUUUUGCUUCCCCCACCCCAGUACUAUGGAUUAAACGCAAGGCCUUCACACUGAGCUAUAUCUCCAGCCCCCGCUCUUUUUUUUUGACACAGGGUCCUGCUAAGUUGUCCAGGCUGGGCUGGAACCUAUGCGAUCCUCCUGCCUCAGCCUCCCAAAUUGCUGGGAUGACAGUUGUGCACCUCCAUGUCCUGCUGGAACCUGGUUUUGAAAGCCAGCUGUCAGGCUCUCGCUCUUUGCUCUUGCUAACUCAUCAGCCGCCCUCCUGCCUCAGUUUCCUUGUAAAACGAAGGCUUUGCUCAGAUCAUGAAGUCUUUUUUUUUUGGUACCGGGGAUCAAACUCAGGACCUUGCGCUUGCAAGGCAGGCGCCGGAACCACUGAGCUAAAUCCCCGGUCCCAUGAAGUCCUUUUAAAGUAGCUUCCAGAAUCCUGAGAUCGGGUUAUUAUUACAAUUCCUGCCCAGGGAGGUCCUCU